AUACGUAGGUGGCAAGCGUUGUCCGGAUUUACUGGGCGUAAAGGAUGCGUAGGCGGAUAUGUAAGUGGGAUGUGAAAUGCCCGGGCUCAACUUGGGUGCUGCAUUCCAAACUGCAUAUCUAGAGUGCAGGAGAGGAGAGUGGAAUUCCUAGUGUAGCGGUGAAAUGCGUAGAGAUUAGGAAGAACACCAGUGGCGAAGGCGACUCUCUGGACUGUAACUGACGCUGAGGCAUGAAAGCGUGGGGAGCAAACAGGAUUAGAUACCCUGGUAGUCCACGCCGUAAACGAUGAGUACUAGGUGUAGGAGGUAUCGACCCCUUCUGUGCCGCAGUUAACACAAUAAGUACUCCGCCUGGGAAGUACGGUCGCAAGAUUAA
Molecule: ribosomal RNA, 376 nt
Filed under: uncultured bacterium
Lineage: Bacteria
Description: bacterial SSU rRNA
Rfam family: Bacterial small subunit ribosomal RNA
Source: RNAcentral